CCUACGGGAGGCAGCAGUGAGGAAUAUUGGUCAAUGGACGAGAGUCUGAACCAGCCAAGUAGCGUGAAGGAUGACUGCCCUAUGGGUUGUAAACUUCUUUUAUAUGGGAAUAAAAUGUUCCACGUGUGGGAUUUUGUAUGUACCAUAUGAAUAAGGAUCGGCUAACUCCGUGCCAGCAGCCGCGGUAAUACGGAGGAUCCGAGCGUUAUCCGGAUUUAUUGGGUUUAAAGGGAGCGUAGGGGGAUUGUUAAGUCAGUUGUGAAAGUUUGCGGCUCAACCGUAAAAUUGCAGUUGAAACUGGCAGUCUUGAGUACAGUAGAGGUGGGCGGAAUUCGUGGUGUAGCGGUGAAAUGCUUAGAUAUCACGAAGAACUCCGAUUGCGAAGGCAGUUCACUGGACUGCAACUGACGCUGAGGCUCGAAAGUGUGGGUAUCAAACAGGAUUAGAUACCCGUGUAGUC
This 460-nucleotide ribosomal RNA is filed under the name uncultured bacterium. Its description in RNAcentral is "partial 16S ribosomal RNA". It matches the Rfam family "Bacterial small subunit ribosomal RNA", at positions 338 to 795 of the family's 1533-position model. The record is from RNAcentral.